UACGUAGGGGGCUAGCGUUGUCCGGAAUUAUUGGGCGUAAAGAGCGUGUAGGUGGUCCGGUAAGUCCGCUGUGAAAGUCAAGGGCUCAACCCUUGAAAGCCGGUGGGUACUGUCGGACUAGAGUACGGAAGAGGCGAGUGGAAUUCCUGGUGUAGCGGUGAAAUGCGCAGAUAUCAGGAGGAACACCAAUUGCGAAGGCAGCUCGCUGGGACGUUACUGACACUGAGACGCGAAAGCGUGGGGAGCGAACAGG
RNAcentral lists this ribosomal RNA (253 nucleotides) under uncultured bacterium. RNAcentral's name for it is "partial 16S ribosomal RNA". It matches the Rfam family "Bacterial small subunit ribosomal RNA", at positions 524 to 776 of the family's 1533-position model. The record is from RNAcentral.